This 1168-nucleotide ribosomal RNA is filed under the name Bacillus velezensis. RNAcentral describes it as "partial 16S ribosomal RNA". It matches the Rfam family "Bacterial small subunit ribosomal RNA", at positions 141 to 1295 of the family's 1533-position model. The record is from RNAcentral. Lineage: Bacteria; Bacillati; Bacillota; Bacilli; Caryophanales; Bacillaceae.
GGAUAACUCCGGGAAACCGGGGCUAAUACCGGAUGGUUGUUUGAACCGCAUGGUUCAGACAUAAAAGGUGGCUUCGGCUACCACUUACAGAUGGACCCGCGGCGCAUUAGCUAGUUGGUGAGGUAACGGCUCACCAAGGCAACGAUGCGUAGCCGACCUGAGAGGGUGAUCGGCCACACUGGGACUGAGACACGGCCCAGACUCCUACGGGAGGCAGCAGUAGGGAAUCUUCCGCAAUGGACGAAAGUCUGACGGAGCAACGCCGCGUGAGUGAUGAAGGUUUUCGGAUCGUAAAGCUCUGUUGUUAGGGAAGAACAAGUGCCGUUCAAAUAGGGCGGCACCUUGACGGUACCUAACCAGAAAGCCACGGCUAACUACGUGCCAGCAGCCGCGGUAAUACGUAGGUGGCAAGCGUUGUCCGGAAUUAUUGGGCGUAAAGGGCUCGCAGGCGGUUUCUUAAGUCUGAUGUGAAAGCCCCCGGCUCAACCGGGGAGGGUCAUUGGAAACUGGGGAACUUGAGUGCAGAAGAGGAGAGUGGAAUUCCACGUGUAGCGGUGAAAUGCGUAGAGAUGUGGAGGAACACCAGUGGCGAAGGCGACUCUCUGGUCUGUAACUGACGCUGAGGAGCGAAAGCGUGGGGAGCGAACAGGAUUAGAUACCCUGGUAGUCCACGCCGUAAACGAUGAGUGCUAAGUGUUAGGGGGUUUCCGCCCCUUAGUGCUGCAGCUAACGCAUUAAGCACUCCGCCUGGGGAGUACGGUCGCAAGACUGAAACUCAAAGGAAUUGACGGGGGCCCGCACAAGCGGUGGAGCAUGUGGUUUAAUUCGAAGCAACGCGAAGAACCUUACCAGGUCUUGACAUCCUCUGACAAUCCUAGAGAUAGGACGUCCCCUUCGGGGGCAGAGUGACAGGUGGUGCAUGGUUGUCGUCAGCUCGUGUCGUGAGAUGUUGGGUUAAGUCCCGCAACGAGCGCAACCCUUGAUCUUAGUUGCCAGCAUUCAGUUGGGCACUCUAAGGUGACUGCCGGUGACAAACCGGAGGAAGGUGGGGAUGACGUCAAAUCAUCAUGCCCCUUAUGACCUGGGCUACACACGUGCUACAAUGGACAGAACAAAGGGCAGCGAAACCGCGAGGUUAAGCCAAUCCCACAAAUCUGUUCUCAGUUCG